CCUACGGGAGGCAGCAGUGGGGAAUUUUGGACAAUGGGCGCAAGCCUGAUCCAGCCAUGCCGCGUGCGGGAAGAGGGCCUUCGGGUUGUAAACCGCUUUUGUCAGGGAAGAAAAGGUUCUGGUUAAUACCUGGGACUCAUGACGGUACCUGAAGAAUAAGCACCGGCUAACUACGUGCCAGCAGCCGCGGUAAUACGUAGGGUGCAAGCGUUAAUCGGAAUUACUGGGCGUAAAGCGUGCGCAGGCGGUUAUGCAAGACAGAGGUGAAAUCCCCGGGCUCAACCUGGGAACUGCCUUUGUGACUGCAUAGCUAGAGUGCGGCAGAGGGGGAUGGAAUUCCGCGUGUAGCAGUGAAAUGCGUAGAUAUGCGGAGGAACACCGAUGGCGAAGGCAAUCCCCUGGGCCUGCACUGACGCUCAUGCACGAAAGCGUGGGGAGCAAACAGGAUUAGAUACCCUGGUAGUCCACGCCCUAAACGAUGUCAACUGGUUGUUGGGAGGGUUUCUUCUCAGUAACGUAGCUAACGCGUGAAGUUGACCGCCUGGGGGAGGUACGGCCGCGAGUAGAACGUACAAGUAGAGUUAGACGGCGUGAGACGUAGCCGACGGACGACGACGAGGGGAGGAGGG
RNAcentral lists this ribosomal RNA (629 nucleotides) under uncultured bacterium. RNAcentral describes it as "bacterial SSU rRNA". The stretch from base 1 to 542 matches the Rfam family "Bacterial small subunit ribosomal RNA", at positions 338 to 873 of the family's 1533-position model. The record is from RNAcentral.